Molecule: microRNA, 22 nt
Filed under: Cordylochernes scorpioides
Lineage: Eukaryota; Metazoa; Arthropoda; Arachnida; Pseudoscorpiones; Chernetidae
Source: RNAcentral
UUUCGACUUGUUCGACAUCGAC